UUCCGCUUGCAGAAGAGUUCACGGUUUACUUCCUUCAACGUGGUUUUAAUAUUACAGAAAGUCGUCUUUUUUUUUGUUGUUGUUUAUGUUUGGAAAUGGGUCGAUCCUCUAAAACUUGUAGAUCUAAAUUAUAUUCAGAUCAACAUGUAAAAGACCUUAUUGAUUCAGAUAACAAUAGACUUACAAUAUAUCAGGCUUUAAGCACUUAGCUGGAUAAAAGAAGUAACAGAAAUGGGCCUAUCUUUCUAAAAUGAGUUUAGAGAGAAAAGUAUUUUAUCAGCAACUAUAUACCAGCUAGACCAAACUUUUUUUGUCAUUAUACCAAAGAUGGCCCACAUUUAAUUAUUUAUAAGAAAUGCUCAAGAUGAAAGAUGUCUUAAGGACAAUUUACUUUUCAAACCUGAAACCUAAAAACCAAAAUAUAAAUACUCGGAAUCAGGUAUUAACUAUCCACCUCUUGUGAAAAUAUUGGCUACUGUCAAGGCUUACAUUGAAUCUCUACCACUUUUAGAUGAGCCAGAAAUGUUUGGGCUCCAUGAGAAUGCAAACAUAGCCUUUCAGUUGAAUGAAACCAAUGCUAUACUUGGUCUUAUGGUGUUGUCUUAUGGGAACUGUUGACAGAAGAAGUACCCUACAAAGAUGUGGAUUCUUCUGCUAUCAUCUGGGGAGUGGGAAGCAAUAUCCUUCACCUUCCUGUUCCAGGCACUUGCCCAGAGGGCUUUAAAUUGCUGAUGAGGCAGUGCUGGUAUUUUAUGCCUCAUGGUAUUACAGCGGACCAUCAAGGAAAUAUUUGGUUAACAGAUGUAGCAAUGCAUCAGGUUUUUAAAAUACCACCAGGUCAGACUGUACCAAAAAUGACACUAGGACAGAAGUUCCAACAUGGUGAAGAUACAAAUCUUUUUUUGUAAACCUACUGAUGUAGCUGUUCUUAUGUCUGGAGAGUUUUUUGUAUCUGAUGGGUACUGUAAUAGCAGAGUUCUGAAAUUUUCCAAAGAUGGAACUUUUUUGAUGUCCUUUGGGAAAAGGAAUGUUCAGUUUGGUGCAGGAGGUUUACUGUAUGCUGUGAAUGGUCCUGCUUUUGAUGGCCCCACUGAUACACUGUCCAGGGUUUCACAUCAGACAUAAAUACUGGAGAUUUGUUGGAAAUGUGGAAUGUACCAGAUGUAAAGUUCUAUUUCAUGUGACAACAAAACUCAGCUUAGUUUAACUACAAAUAGCUAAUCUCUCUCAUUGUAACAUAAUUUAUCAAAGUUAUGUUUUAUUUAUUUAUUCUUAUUCAACUUUUACAAAGUAAAAAUGUUUUGAAUGUAUUGACCUCGUGGGAAACUACAUUAAAAUCUCCACAAUCUUUCAGAACAUGCGAAACUCACAUUAUGUAGCAGCAGAUCCAGUAACACAUAGCAUCUAUGUAGGGGAAUUGGACCCUGAAAGUGUUUGGAAGUUUAGCAGACCUGUUACAGUACAGUCAAGUUCACAGCAUAACAAAGUUGAGGAAAGUACUCAGAGCCAGUUACUGUCAGCAAUCCAUUGGACCAGAGUGAAACCAAUACCACAGAGUUGUCUGAGGCUAUCAAAGAUAGCAGUGAUGUCUCUCCCUCUGUCAUCAAUUGGCAUCUUACUUGUGGAAAAUUUAAAUGUUAUGGACAUGGAAAGAAGGGAAAGGUUUUUAACCUUAAAGGCUUUACUUGGCAUUCUCAUAAAGGCUUUGAUAGACUUAGUACUGAGGAAAGUGAUCAUGAGGUUGACCCAGAUGAUUUAGAUGAUAAAGACUAUUUGACACCUCCCAAGACGAAUAAAGCAUAGCCUCAAGUUCAAGGCUGACUAAAUUGUGUAAAUUAAUCUUUUUUUUUCUUUGUUAUUAGUUGGUCAUAUCAUAAUAUUCUGCCUUUACAGUCAGGGUUUAAACUUGUUUACAUGUUGAAUCUGAUACCAACUAAAUCUCAUAAACACAUAAUUAACCAUAGACCCACCUCAUGUAAAAAAAAAAUGUUUUGUAAAAUGUUUUACAUAUUUCGGAUGUUCUUUCAGAGUUGAAGAUAGUUUACUUCCUAUUCCAAAUCUCCCGCAGGACGACGGGGGAUGGGAGCGGGCAGGGUUUGAACCCGGGACCAUCGAUAAAUCCAAACGACAGUCCAGCGUGCAAACCGCACGACCAGGCAGCCAUAUUACAUGUUAUUAGUUGUAAGUUGUAUUACAAUAACUAAGUGAUUUUGAGCUCAUAAAAUUUCAAAAUAAAAUUAUAAAAUGCUUUUGUCAUUCUAAAAAAGAAAAAAAGAUUACUAUGUUGGAUUUUUUUUGGAUAGCAAAGGCUAUUUGACCUUUUUAUUUCAAUAUGUGAUAUCAAAAUUUUUAAUUCAUUAAUUUGUUUAAUAUUUGUCGAAAGUUUGCUUUUGAAUAAAAUAUUUAUCAGCAUUAUUAUCAUUUAAUAAGUAUAUUUUGUUUUUUAAUUUUAUGAAUGAUUUGAUGUUAAAAUGCCAGGUCAUUUACAAAGCACACGCCUGCCAACUUUCUUUUUGCAUUGAUUCUCAAAACUUAAUUAGCUACCAAAUGAUUAUUUGCUCACUUGGUUGUGAUGAUUCAACAUUCCUGUUAUGUUCCACCAUUUCCUUCUUCAAUUCUAAAGCUGGCUUUAUUUCAUCUAGUGAACGUACCAUUAGUGUUAGUGACCCUGGCAAACUAGCCAUUUUAUGCACAAUUUUAAAAUGUUCAUAUGGAUAAUAUGGUUAGUUUUUUUAUAGCAUUUUUGACUACAUGGAGUUCCAGACAACUUUCCAUGUUGCUGGUCCCUUUCUCAUGUCAUUAUUAAAUCUUAUUUAAAAAACAAAAAAAACUUGUUAGAUGGUAACAUUGUCCAAAUUGUUACUAGUUUUAUGUAAUGUGUUUGAAAACUAUGACUUCCUUAGAUUGACUACUAGACGCUCAUUCAUGUAUUGCAUUUCUUUAUUUUAAAAUCUUGUUAAGGCUUGUUUAAAAUCUCUCGACACUCAACUUUUUAUGCCAUAUUACAAUGUUUAUUUGUUAAUUCAAUUGUUUAGUCAAAUGUUUGUUUUCCAAAGUGUUACUAUUUGGUGCAAUCAAAAUAUUUAGUGGCAUUUUACAUACAAACACUGGUAGUUGAAAUCAGUAGCACAUUUUAGCUAAUUUCUGAUGAAUCAAAAUAAAAAUGUCAUGAUAUAAAAAUAAUUUUAAAUUUAAAAACCUAAAUGAAAAAAAUUGUAUUUUUUGUAAAUAUAGUUACAGUUAUAUUGAAUAGAAUUAUUUAUGUUAGCAACUUUUGAAUGCAUCACAUAAUUUUAAUUUGACACAGAAACUGAAAAUCAUUUCAAUUAAAGAUUGUUGACUGUUGUUUCACCUCAGAUGAAUUGAUUACAUUUUAAGAGGUUAUCAGAUAUUUAUAUUAUGACAUACAAUUUUUUUGUUAUGUUAUGAGUUGUUUUUGUUUUUAUUUUCUACAUGUUCAGGGUAUAAAGUUCUAGUGCAUACAUACGUAGAUUUCAACCCACAUUUUUUUAGUUCUUACUUAUGUAUUUACAUACAUGUACUAAGAACUAAUAUGAAAUUACAACUUAAUCAUUUUUUGUGUGAUUUUUAUGUAUUUGAACCAAUUUUUAUUUUAAAUUAGCACAAGUUAAAUCUGUUGAUCAGAAUUUUUUUCCUUGGUAAUAGUUAUAUUUAUACUCAAACCCAUUUGAUGUUACUUCUGCAAAGAUUUAUAGACACUCAGAGGAAAUGAUAUUAGCAUGGUAGACACAGUUAAACUUUUAAGGCAGAGUUUUGGAAUUAAAGCUAAAAUUUUAAAAUAAAUCAAAAACAUUGAUAAACAAGCUGUUUACUGCUAGUUUAGUGCAUCAAUCCAUUGUCUGCUUUUGAUUUAGUCUUUGGUUCUUGAUUUCUAUGCUGCACUGUCAAUAACUUUACUUUUUUUAAGCAGUUCUAUUAAUCUCUUUCAAAUACUAUUUGCUUGUACUAAUCAGAAUGUAAGAUUUAAUGGGUUUGAUAUUUGUUUCAACUGGUGAUGGUCCCCCUAAAGUAUUGUAUUAGUACUUCAAAACUUACUUAUGUACAGUUUCAUUAAUCAAUUAUAUUUUUAGGCUGUUGAAGGUUUAUCAAUUGAUUUUUUUUUUUAUCUGGUGGAGACAUUUAACCAUUUUGUUUUUGCCACAAAAAAAAAAUUCAACUUGUCUGUUGUGAAAAAUGAAAUCAAAAGUGAAUGAUCAUCUAGUCUUUGAAAGUUCAAAAUAUUUGUACUACUUUAUUGAUGUCAUGUACUCACAUAAUAUUUGUGUGUUAGUGUUUGUCUUAACAUGUUGAUGUUGUUUUGUGAUAUCUACAUCAACAUUGUCUCUUGUUGGUGGGGUAUGCAAGACAUUGGUUCUAUGCUGUUGGUAAAAAUUUCUCAUCCUUCAUUGACUUCCAUUGUACUCCACCUUGCACUUAGAGUGUUUUAUGGAGUGCUAGAAAUCUAAAAAGUAUCCCAGUCAUAAUAGAAGUUUAUAGAUUUUUAAAACUUACCACAUUCAGAGCAUUUCAUUUUUACUUUGCUCUUUUUUUUAUUGUGUAUGUUCUUAAUUGUAAUCAACAUCUGACAGUGCUACAUAAUGUUUUAUUUAAUGACUGAGCAUAAUGCUUAAUUUGAUUUUAAUGUGGCUAAGAUUCAAGAAACAUGUUUAUAAGUUCAUUGCUAAAAACACCUGGUGCAGAGUCAAUGACUUUCAAAAUAGGGAUGUCAUUUGUUUCUCAAAUGUUAGUAGCAUAGAAAACAUAGACUGUGUGGUCUAUUUAUCUUAAUGUGUGUUUGAUGUAUUGUAAGUGAUCAUAUGUAACAGUUAUGGGUAUAGAGAAUAAAAUACAAAAUAUUUAA
This is a long non-coding RNA of Biomphalaria glabrata, 4861 nucleotides long. RefSeq lists it as uncharacterized. Lineage: Eukaryota; Metazoa; Mollusca; Gastropoda; Planorbidae. The record is from RefSeq and is a predicted model, not a curated record. The transcript has 11 exons.